Molecule: long non-coding RNA, 1283 nt
Filed under: Anser brachyrhynchus (Pink-footed goose)
Lineage: Eukaryota; Metazoa; Chordata; Aves; Anseriformes; Anatidae
Description: lncRNA (ENSABRG00000014995.1)
Source: RNAcentral
AAUUCUCUCAUGAUUUUCUCCUGAUUUGCACUGCUCUCUUGGUAAAAGAGAGAGUAAUUUCCUAGAUUCCUGGAUUGUGAUGAUUAACAUACAAUUCUUUAGCUAUUUUUUCCUAGUGUCUCGAUUGUUUUGACUAUAAAUGCAUACUUUAAGGAUUUCUACAGGGCAAAAUAGAAGUAUAACCUUUCUUGUAACUUAUGUAAGAUAGCAUUAGCUAAUUUUGGUUGUUAAUUGGUAUGAGAUCAUAAGUAGCCAAACUAAUUUAUUUAAAUAAGGUUUUUAGUUCUAUUGCCUUACCAAUUUUCCAGAUGGAUCUAAUUAUCUAAAAUGUAUAUUAUCUAAUUUAAUUGCAGUGUUGCCAGACAACCACCUCUUCCAGAUCUAGUUGCCACAUCUUGUGACGUUGUUCAUAGAUACACAUAAACCCAAUAAAGGUGUACAGAAGGUCUGCCUUUACUGUAGGCAACUCUUGGCCUUAUUAUCUCCCAUAAUUGACACUACCACAAAAGUGGUGUUUAUUCUACUGGUAUAGGUCACUACCAUAACCAUAUGUUAUAGCUCUGAAUGGUGGUUUCUAACGGACAAUAACUAUUGUUUUAUCAUGCUGCAUUUUGUGGAUUUUGUUUCCAAACUGUGUGUGCAAGUAACACCAUUUACAGCCAUUGUUACCCUGUUUAAAGAAGGGCUCGAAGACGCAGACUGCAGGAGAAUGACUGGAAUUCGGCUGGAUGAAUGAAAGUGGCCAGAGACGUUUGGGGUCAGUGAUGGCUGUCAACUUGAUAGAGCAGGAAAAGAAGUUGUACGCUGAUGGCACCACAAACCGAGGGAGCCUGUUCGAUGUCUUGACCUCCCGUACUACAGCUAACGAAAUAAUUGGAAUUGUUCCUCUGAGUGGUGUGUGGCCCUCUUUUGUAUCCCCCUAUUACUACCAUACAUUGUAUUCCGUUACACUAUUGUAUCCAGUUGAACUUGAUGGAAUACAUUAUGCAAAUCUGUGCCUGCUUCUUGUGUAUCAGCAAGAGAGAUCUCUGAAACGUAAGCGCUACUGCAGAGUUACUGAUUAAAGUCAGAUGCAGUCGAACGCUAGCAUAGCCCAUCCUUUGUGAGGGGAAAGGGUGGUGUGGAUAAUACGGAGCCUUAAUGGCUAACUUAUCCUUAACAAUGCAGAACGAUUAAAAUUUGCUGAUUCUAAAGAGCUAUCAGCAGUUUUCGGUGACCAACAUAGGUAAUGCUCUCUGAGAGUAGGUAAUAAAUACAUAGCGAUGCUGAAGGGGGAGGAGAAA